GACGAACGCUGGCGGCGUGCUUAACACAUGCAAGUCGAACGGAAAGGCCCUGCUUUUGUGGGGUGCUCGAGUGGCGAACGGGUGAGUAACACGUGAGUAACCUGCCCUUGACUUUGGGAUAACUUCAGGAAACUGGGGCUAAUACCGGAUAGGAGCUCCUGCUGCAUGGUGGGGGUUGGAAAGUUUCGGCGGUUGGGGAUGGACUCGCGGCUUAUCAGCUUGUUGGUGGGGUAGUGGCUUACCAAGGCUUUGACGGGUAGCCGGCCUGAGAGGGUGACCGGCAACAUUGGGACUGAGAUACGGCCCAGAAUCCUACGGGGGGCAGCAGUGGGGAAUAUUGCACAAUGGGCGGAAGCCUGAUGCAGCAACGCCGCGUGCGGGAUGACGGCCUUCGGGUUGUAAACCGCUUCCGCCUGUGACGAAGCGUGAGUGACGGUAAUGGGUAAAGAAGCACCGGCUAACUACGUG
RNAcentral lists this ribosomal RNA (468 nucleotides) under uncultured bacterium. RNAcentral describes it as "partial 16S ribosomal RNA". It matches the Rfam family "Bacterial small subunit ribosomal RNA", at positions 28 to 507 of the family's 1533-position model. The record is from RNAcentral.